Molecule: unclassified non-coding RNA, 339 nt
Filed under: soil metagenome
Description: partial contains 5.8S ribosomal RNA, internal transcribed spacer 2, and large subunit ribosomal RNA
Rfam family: 5.8S ribosomal RNA (bases 1-120)
Source: RNAcentral
GAUGAAGAACGUAGCGAAAUGCGAUAAGUAAUGCGAAUUGCAGAAUUCCGUGAGUCAUCGAAUCUUUGAACGCACAUUGCGCCCUCUGGUAUUCCGGAGGGCAUGCCUGUCUGAGCGUCAUUGUCAACCCUCAAGCUCAGCUUGCUGUUGGGUCCCCGUCGUUGCUUUAACGGCGGACCCGAAAGGUAAUAGCAGAGUCCGUGAGACCCUAGACGCAGCGAGCUUCUAGCACGCGUCUGGACGUUUUUCGGGCUCGGUCUUAACUAGAUGAUAACUUCCGAUUGACCUCAGAUCAGGUAGGGAUACCCGCUGAACUUAAGCAUAUCAAUAAGCGGAGGA